This 301-nucleotide ribosomal RNA is filed under the name uncultured bacterium. Its description in RNAcentral is "partial 16S ribosomal RNA". It matches the Rfam family "Bacterial small subunit ribosomal RNA", at positions 509 to 807 of the family's 1533-position model. The record is from RNAcentral.
CAGUCGCCACGGUAAUACGUAGGCGGCAAGCGUUGUCCGGAAUUAUUGGGCGUAAAGGGCUCGCAGGCGGUUUCUUAAGUCUGACGUGAAAGCCCCCGGCUCAACCGGGGAGGGUCAUUGGGAACUGGGAAACUUGAGUGCAGAAGAGGAGAGUGGAAUUCCACGUGUAGCGGUGAAAUGCGUAGAGAUGUGGAGGAACACCAGUGGCGAAGGCGACUCUCUGGUCUGUAACUGACGCUGAGGAGCGAAAGCGUGGGGAGCGAACAGGAUUAGAUACCCCGGUAGUCCCUGUCUCUUAUAC